RNAcentral lists this ribosomal RNA (301 nucleotides) under uncultured bacterium. RNAcentral describes it as "partial 16S ribosomal RNA". It matches the Rfam family "Bacterial small subunit ribosomal RNA", at positions 509 to 807 of the family's 1533-position model. The record is from RNAcentral.
CAGCAGCCGCGGGAAUACGGAGGGGGCUAGCGUUGUUCGGAAUUACUGGGCGUAAAGCGCACGUAGGCGGCUUGGUAAGUUAGAGGUGAAAGCCUGGAGCUCAACUCCAGAAUUGCCUUUAAGACUGCCGAGCUAGCAGGUGAGAGAGGUAAGUGGAAUUCCGAGUGUAGAGGUGAAAUUCGUAGAUAUUCGGAAGAACACCAGUGGCGAAGGCGGCUUACUGGCUCAUACUGGACGCUGAGGUGCGAAAGCGUGGGGAGCAAACAGGAUUAGAUACCCGUGUAGUCCCUGUCUCUUAUAC